Molecule: ribosomal RNA, 400 nt
Filed under: uncultured bacterium
Lineage: Bacteria
Description: bacterial SSU rRNA
Rfam family: Bacterial small subunit ribosomal RNA
Source: RNAcentral
UGGGGAAUUUUGGACAAUGGGCGCAAGCCUGAUCCAGCCAUGCCGCGUGUCUGAAGAAGGCCUUCGGGUUGUAAAGGACUUUUGUCAGGGAGGAAAUCCCUAGCGCUAAUAUCGCUGGGGGAUGACAGUACCUGAAGAAUAAGCACCGGCUAACUACGUGCCAGCAGCCGCGGUAAUACGUAGGGUGCAAGCGUUAAUCGGAAUUACUGGGCGUAAAGCGUGCGCAGGCGGUUGUGUAAGUCUGAUGUGAAAGCCCCGGGCUUAACCUGGGAACUGCAUUGGAGACUGCACAGCUAGAGUGCGUCAGAGGGGGGUAGAAUUCCGCGUGUAGCAGUGAAAUGCGUAGAGAUGCGGAGGAAUACCGAUGGCGAAGGCAGCCCCCUGGGAUGACACUGACGCU